CCUACGGGCGGCAGCAGUGGGGAAUAUUGCGCAAUGGGCGAAAGCCUGACGCAGCGACGCCGCGUGAGGGAUGAAGGUCUUCGGAUCGUAAACCUCUGUCAGCAGGGAAGAACGGUCACUGUGCUAAUCAGCAGUGAAUUGACGGUACCUGCAAAGGAAGCACCGGCUAACUCCGUGCCAGCAGCCGCGGUAAUACGGAGGGUGCGAGCGUUAAUCGGAAUUACUGGGCGUAAAGCGCUCGUAGGCGGUAUGUCAAGUCAAGGGUGAAAGCCCCGCGCUCAACGUGGGAACUGCCUUUGAAACUGGCAAACUGGAGUGUGUGAGAGGAUAGUGGAAUGCCAGGUGUAGGAGUGAAAUCCGUAGAUAUCUGGAGGAACAUCAGUGGCGAAGGCGACUAUCUGGCACAUAACUGACGCUGAGGAGCGAAAGCGUGGGUAGCAAACAGGAUUAGAUACCCCAGUAGUC
Molecule: ribosomal RNA, 465 nt
Filed under: uncultured bacterium
Lineage: Bacteria
Description: partial 16S ribosomal RNA
Rfam family: Bacterial small subunit ribosomal RNA
Source: RNAcentral